GGAAGAUGAUGGGGAUGACAAGGGCAGCCCGCACUCCGGGGCAGGAGGAUGGCUCCUUCCCGGAGUCCUUUGCUCUCAUGUCCAAAUAUCAUCCUCUGGCCAGCGGCACCCGCUGCCACCUGGGCAGCAGUGCUGGUUUCAACCAGACUCCUCAUUCCCAGUUCCAGAGGGACCUUCCAGGCCCCCAGACCCAGGGAAGAGUUGCCCCACGGCCCCGCAGCCCCUCUCCAAGGACGUGCCUCCCCGGGGCUGAGCUUUGACUUAGCCUCAAGCUGGCUUUUCAUCACUUCCCCCCCGCCCCGUCCUCGCUCCCUUCCCAGCUCCCUGCAGCCUCACAGCUUUGUUUUUAAGGCCCAGCACUGAAAUUUGGCCUCUUUGUCCCAUAUUUUGACCCAUAUUCUGCCAAUGAAUCAGUUCACGGUGGCCCCAGAAAACCAGGUUCCCGGGCCCGGCACAACCUGCCCCGGCGCGGGGCGAGGCCGGGGCGGGGGGAAGGGGGCUCCUCCGCAGCAGCCUGAUGCCAGAGGAAGGGGUGCAGCUGAGACCUGACGCACUCAGUGCAGGGACACAGAAACCCAGGGAUCCCCCCCCCUGCAGGACACCGAUGAGGCUGUGCUCACUGAAUCUACAGCUGUACUCACAAUCCAGAAAAAAAGAGAGAGCGCGCGCGCGAGGAAAAUACUGAAGUAUUCCUACAGAGUAUUUGUUCCAGUUAGCUCCCUCCGCGGGCAGGAGACAGAG
This is a long non-coding RNA of Dromaius novaehollandiae (emu), 741 nucleotides long. RefSeq lists it as uncharacterized. The record is from RefSeq and is a predicted model, not a curated record. NCBI's taxonomy places the organism in Eukaryota, Metazoa, Chordata, Aves, Casuariiformes, Dromaiidae. The transcript has 2 exons.